RNAcentral lists this ribosomal RNA (412 nucleotides) under uncultured bacterium. RNAcentral describes it as "bacterial SSU rRNA". It matches the Rfam family "Bacterial small subunit ribosomal RNA", at positions 505 to 916 of the family's 1533-position model. The record is from RNAcentral.
GUAUCAGCCGCCACGGUAAUACAGAGGGUGCAAGCGUUAAUCGGAAUUACUGGGCGUAAAGCGAGCGUAGGUGGCUUGAUAAGUCAGAUGUGAAAUCCCCGGGCUUAACCUGGGAACUACAUCUGAUACUGUUGAGCUAGAGUAGGUGAGAGGAAGGUAGAAUUCCAGGCGUAGCGGUGAAAUGCGUAGAGAUCUGGAGGAAUACCGAUGGCGAAGGCAGCCUUCUGGCAUCAUACUGACACUGAGGCUCGAAAGCGUGGGUAGCAAACAGAAUUAGAUACCCUGGUAGUCCACGCCGUAAACGAUGUCUACUAGUCGUUGGGUCCCUUGAGGACCUAGUGACGCAGCUAACGCAAUAAGUAGACCGCCUGGGGAGUACGGCCGCAAGGUUAAAACUCAAAGGAAUUGACGG